This 490-nucleotide ribosomal RNA is filed under the name uncultured bacterium. RNAcentral's name for it is "partial 16S ribosomal RNA". It matches the Rfam family "Bacterial small subunit ribosomal RNA", at positions 28 to 507 of the family's 1533-position model. The record is from RNAcentral.
GAUGAACGCUGGCGACAGGCUUAACACAUGCAAGUCGAGCGGAAACGAUGAGAGAUCUUGCUCUCUUCGGCGUCGACCGGCGCACGUGUGAGUAACGCGUAUCCAACCUACCCAUUACAGGGGUAUAACCUAGCGAAAGUAAGACUAAUACCCCAUGCCAUCUUAUGGUGGCAUCAUUGUAGGUUUAAGGAUUUAUGGGUGAUGGCUGGGGAUGCGUCUGAUUAGCUUGUUGGCGGGGUAACGGCCGACUGAGUCGACGAUCAGUAAGGGUUCUGAGAGGAAGGGGCCCCAGAGGGGAACCGAGAACCGGGCGAAACACCUACGGGAGGCAGCAGUGAGGGAGACAGGAGAGUGGGAGAGUGCUCGAUCCAGCCAAGUAGGGUGCAGGAAGACGGCCUGAGGGAUGAUAAACUGCUUUUAGAAAGGAGUAUAGGGAGCUAAGUGUAGGUUAUUGCAUGUACUCGAUGAAUAAGGACCGGCUAAUUACGUG